GGUGAUUUUAGCGAAUCUGAAACACACGAUCCCAUUCCGAACUCGGCUGUGAAACGAUUCAGCGCCUAUGGUACUUUGUCUUAAGGCACGGGAGAGUCGGUCGUUGCCA
Molecule: ribosomal RNA, 109 nt
Filed under: Alphaproteobacteria bacterium
Lineage: Bacteria; Pseudomonadati; Pseudomonadota; Alphaproteobacteria
Source: RNAcentral